UUCUACAUGGCUUCAUCCUCUGCUCUACUCAAGCAAAGAGGAGCUUCAACUGCUGGGUCUAAGGCACACGUGGAUGUUGGAGCUCAGCUCAACAACUGGGAAUGGAGGACCUCUCCAGAGCCCCAGAAGACCCCCGCCCGGGUGUGUGUGACAUCAGUUGGGGAGCUAUUAAUAACUGCCCUCCCCCCCCCCGUCAUAUUUCCUGAACUGUGUGGGGAAGGCGAUUGUGAGGCGCUCUGCUGGAAUUUGGCAGCGCGGAGGCUUGGAGAGCAGCCCCAUGCUGGCUCCUAUUCAGCCGGCCAGUUUUCCUCGAGCUUUGGAAGUUUCACUCAGCCGUGCACUCAAUGGCUUCACAAAGCUGAUUACAAGCUUCAGCGCAUUCCUGAAGGAGCCAAAAGCGACGCAGGUGCAAACGAGCCGAGGGAGCCCCUUAUCCCGGUGACAGAAUGGGACAAGCUGGGAAAGGCUUGGACCACACAAAUCCAAGGCUCACCAGGCAGCAGAGAGCCUGCCUUGGGAACCGGGGGUCAUUAUCCGCCCUAUUCAGCGGGGCCGGGGACCCUGGGGCCCGGGAGGCCGGCCGGGCGCAAGCGCCACCGCCAGUGCGCGCCCACAGCAGUGGGGACCCCGCUGGGCGUUGCAACCCGUCGGGAUGUUGGGCGCUGCGUUUGUUCCCACCGACAGCGGUCGGCGAAAUCCAUCCUGCUGGUGAAAGCCGGUGUCCAGGCUAACUCGGAUACAGGAGAACGAGGGUAGCGAAGAUGCUCAGUGCGUGGACAUCUCCAUCACAGUCACUUAUCUGGAAACCUGCGGCUGGAUUAAUCGCUAUAUUCCCAAGAUGAGCGGUGCUGCAAUCCGCAGUGAACACGGGUGGGAACAUGGAAACUUCCCCCAGGUUCUUGCGGGGGCCAGCAGCUGGCCUGCUCCCUGCAGUGGCUGCUGCACAGUUGCUAGCACCUGUUUGGGCUCGGGUUGGGGGUCCACGGGCACUUAGGCGCACAGAAGAUGUGGAAGAGGAGAAGGAAACAGGCCUGUGGGGACUCCGGCCUGAGAGAGGUUGGUUAGCUCUCAGUAAAGGCACAGAACUGCCUAUGUAAAGAGCUUUUUAACCUGAAAACGGUGCUGCCAAAUCUUCAGACAGUGGUCUAUUCAGAUGCAGAAAAAUGUUCCCUCCCAUCUUGAUCUCCCAGUCUCACCCCUACCACGCCCACUGCUGCGCCUUAGGCCCCUCCCCUGGAAUUUCCUCUUUCGGGAUCCUGGUCCUCCAAGGGUUAGUAAUAUUUACUUAGGAACUGUGAGCAUGGAAAUAAGUCCUAGUUGUCCAGCCCCUUGUCCUACCUAUUCGAGGUAAAGACUGUAUAGGCUGUAGCCGGGCAGUGGUGGCAGACGCCUUUAAUCCCAGCACUUGGGAGGCAGAGACAGGUGGAUUUCUGAGUUCGAGGCCAGCCUGGUCUACAGAGUGAGUUCCAGGACAGCCAGGACUGUACAGAGAAACCUUGUCUCGAAAAACCAAAAAUAAAAAUAAAAAAAUAAAAUAAAAAGGAUGGUGUGGACUGUGUGGUGCCAAAGCUCUAGGGAGAAUACUUGUCUACAAAAACUUUCUCUGCUGAGGUCAAAGCAUCAGAUUCGAGGGAAAUACCACUUGGUGCUGGAGGUCCCUGGGCCUGGGCAACGAUGUCUCUGUAGGUGUGAAAAGCCGGGCAUAGGACGCAGGCAUGAAAACUGUGUGCCUCCAUUUUGGCAGCAUAUUAAACAUCCAAGAGUGACCACCCACUGGUCCAUCACAUUAUUAGAUUGUUAGAUGAGGGGGUACCCCAGGAUGCUCCCUCUGCAAGCUCUGCUUAAAAGUCUCCUGGUUCUUCCUCUCUAGCAGCGAAAGCAAACACGUGAAUCUCUGCAAAGCAGCCUGAGCUAAGGUUCCCAGGACAGUCGUCCUCUCGCCCUCUGGAGGCCUUCCAGCUUCAGCUCUCACCUGAAUCCUGUCACCUCUGAUCUGUGGACAAUGCUGAGCCGGACAGCCCCUGGUCAACCAGGCAGAACAGUCUAUGCAAAUGCCGGAGGGCAGCCCUGGGAACAGUGCACCCAUUGUCCAGGGCCUUUCAAAGCUGGGAGCAGCUGCUCAGACUGGUCGCCCUGGACCCUUGGCUGCCAGAGUAAUGUCAUCAUUGCAAGACGUCGACUCUGAAAAUUAUACGACCCGAAUUCAUGAGCAGCCUUGUCUUGAGUGUUUCUGUCUGUGCCACAUUUCAAUGUCCUGAGCUGCUUCUGUUGUUGGGGACUGGAGGAGGGCAUGGGCAGGGGAGAGUUUGCAGUUUCUUAGUAGAGGGUUUGAAAACUUUACAGACUAGCCUUGGCUUCUGAAGUGGGGCGUCUGGCUCAAAGGGCUAAGAUGUGAGGGCUUUUGUGUUGUCUCUUGCUGCUUGCAAGUUUAAGUGCACCGAAAAGAGACUGGAUGAAGAGGUGGAGCGAGAUACAACCACAGAUGCCAAGGUCAUUUUCCUUAGCUGGAACUCCAAAUGCCACCUCCUAGAGAAGCAAGCAGGCUGACUGCAUCAGCACUCGCAGACCACCUCAGCUCCCUUCACAGAAGCAUCAGUGGUUCAUAUCAUCGCUGCCAUCCUCCCUCCCUGCCUCCCCAACCUGCUUCUCUGCCACCUGGACUGUGAAAAGAUGCUCUUUGGCCAGGGGAUAGUGGUUUCUGGUGUAGGAGAUG
RNA transcript from Mus pahari (shrew mouse), 2713 nucleotides. RefSeq lists it as uncharacterized. The record is from RefSeq and is a predicted model, not a curated record. Lineage: Eukaryota; Metazoa; Chordata; Mammalia; Rodentia; Muridae. The transcript is spliced from 3 exons.